UGGGGAAUUUUGGACAAUGGGCGCAAGCCUGAUCCAGCCAUUCCGCGUGCAGGACGAAGGCCUUCGGGUUGUAAACUUCUUUUGUACGGAACGAAAAGGCUCUGGUUAAUACCCGGGGCUCAUGACGGUACCGUAAGAAUAAGCACCGGCUAACUACGUGCCAGCAGCCGCGGUAAUACGUAGGGUGCAAGCGUUAAUCGGAAUUACUGGGCGUAAAGCGUGCGCAGGCGGUGAUGUAAGACAGAUGUGAAAUCCCCGGGCUCAACCUGGGAACUGCAUUUGUGACUGCAUCGCUGGAGUGCGGCAGAGGGGGAUGGAAUUCCGCGUGUAGCAGUGAAAUGCGUAGAUAUGCGGAGGAACACCGAUGGCGAAGGCAAUCCCCUGGGCCUGCACUGACGCUCAUGCACGAAAGCGUGGGGAGCAAACAGG
Molecule: ribosomal RNA, 429 nt
Filed under: uncultured bacterium
Lineage: Bacteria
Description: bacterial SSU rRNA
Rfam family: Bacterial small subunit ribosomal RNA
Source: RNAcentral